GACGAACGCUGGCGGCGUGCUUAACACAUGCAAGUCGAACGGAAAGGCCCUGCUUUUGUGGGGUGCUCGAGUGGCGAACGGGUGAGUAACACGUGAGUAACCUGCCCUUGACUUUGGGAUAACUUCAGGAAACUGGGGCUAAUACCGGAUAGGAGCUCCUGCUGCAUGGUGGGGGUUGGAAAGUUUCGGCGGUUGGGGAUGGACUCGCGGCUUAUCAGCUUGUUGGUGGGGUAGUGGCUUACCAAGGCUUUGACGGGUAGCCGGCCUGAGAGGGUGACCGGCCACAUUGGGACUGAGAUACGGCCCAGACUCCUACGGGAGGCAGCAGUGGGGAAUAUUGCACAAUGGGCGGAAGCCUGAUGCAGCAACGCCGCGUGCGGGAUGACGGCCUUCGGGUUGUAAACCGCUUUCGCCUGUGACGAAGCGUGAGUGACGGUAAUGGGUAAAGAAGCACCGGCUAACUACGUGCCAGCAGCCGCGGUGAUACGUAGGGUGCGAGCGUUGUCCGGAUUUAUUGGGCAUAAAGGGCUCGUAGGUGGUUGAUCGCGUCGGAAGUGUAAUCUUGGGGCUUAACCCUGAGCGUGCUUUCGAUACGGGUUGACUUGAGGAAGGUAGGGGAGAAUGGAAUUCCUGGUGGAGCGGUGGAAUGCGCAGAUAUCAGGAGGAACACCAGUGGCGAAGGCGGUUCUCUGGGCCUUUCCUGACGCUGAGGAGCGAAAGCGUGGGGAGCGAACAGGCUUAGAUACCCUGGUAGUCCACGCUGUAAACGGUGGGUACUAGGUGUGGGGUCCAUUCCACGGGUUCCGUGCCGUAGCUAACGCUUUAAGUACCCCGCCUGGGGAGUACGGCCGCAAGGCUAAAACUCAAAGGAAUUGACGGGGCCCCGCACAAGCGGCGGAGCAUGCGGAUUAAUUCGAUGCAACGCGUAGAACCUUACCUGGGUUUGACAUGGAUCGGGAGCGCUCAGAGAUGGGUGUGCCUCUUUUGGGGUCGGUUCACAGGUGGUGCAUGGCUGUCGUCAGCUCGUGUCGUGAGAUGUUGGGUUAAGUCCCGCAACGAGCGCAACCCUUGUUCACUGUUGCCAGCACGUUAUGGUGGGGACUCAGUGGAGACCGCCGGGGUCAACUCGGAGGAAGGUGGGGAUGACGUCAAGUCAUCAUGCCCCUUAUGUCCAGGGCUUCACGCAUGCUACAAUGGCUGGUACAGAGAGUGGCGAGCCUGUGAGGGUGAGCGAAUCUCGGAAAGCCGGUCUCAGUUCGGAUUGGGGUCUGCAACUCGACCUCAUGAAGUCGGAGUCGCUAGUAAUCGCAGAUCAGCAACGCUGCGGUGAAUACGUUCCCGGG
Molecule: ribosomal RNA, 1343 nt
Filed under: uncultured bacterium
Lineage: Bacteria
Description: 16S ribosomal RNA
Rfam family: Bacterial small subunit ribosomal RNA
Source: RNAcentral